GCCAGUCCGUCCGUCCGUUCGACCGUCGGUCCCCCUUACACAUGUUUGUGUCUGUGUGAAACUAUCGAAACUAAUGUUACUUAAGUUGCCAAUGUGGCGGGGAAAGAUCUUACAGUCCCCGUUGAAAACAUCAGACCCAGAUACAGCAACAGCAAUAGCAACAGCUACAGAUACAUCUACAGAUGCAGACAUACAGAUAUUGAUGUACAGAUGCAGAUACAGACAUACUACAGCCAUACAGCCCACGAUCGUGACGGAGGCAAAGGCGAAGACGAUGCGGAUCGUGGAUCGUGGAUCGGGGAAUCGGGGAACGGCGGUGGCAACUACAGAACGGAGCAAAGCGUAAGGCAAUGUUAACGAGUGAAAAAUUCAAGAAAAUUUUAGUUCUAAAAAUAACUCUUGUACUCAUUUUCGUUUCAAAACGGAAAGCGGCCGACAUUUCACAGCAUGGGAAUAUAACAAGAAGCGACCAAAAAGCCAAUAGCUAUAAAACGCAAAGAUACUAAGAUACUCUGCACUCUGCACAAUGGCCCCAGAUACAGAUACAGAAACAG
Molecule: long non-coding RNA, 554 nt
Filed under: Drosophila guanche
Lineage: Eukaryota; Metazoa; Arthropoda; Insecta; Diptera; Drosophilidae
Source: RNAcentral